AUGCCCAUCAGUAUGGAAACAUAUGUAUGCAGAGCACUCAGGGCAGAGCCUGUGCACAGCAAAGGCUCAUUCAUACCGGUUAUUAGUAUUAUUACCAUCAUCAUCCUCUUUUUCUACCGGAUCACCCUUCCUGGGUUUUGUUAUACGUCAGUGUCUAUUCUCCCUCCUGAUGGUAACAGCAUCCCAACAGUGUUUUGGAGAAUCACUCCUCUGCUAUUAGAUGUAUGAAGUAGUGGUACCUGUCUUCCUCUGGCUAACAGCUUAUCAGAAAAAUAAUUGAGUUGAGAGUAAUUGGGUUUACAUCAUGGAUUGAACUUUGGAAACUUCACUGACCAUUUAAUUUAAACGUAAGUAGACAUACAGCAAACUACAGUUUCUGUAAAUAUUUGAUUAUAUAUGUGGUUUGGAUGUCACUUGCAACCCUUUCUUAUUGGAACUCAAGGAAUUGGCAGGUAAAAGGAUGGGGUAUAUGACUGAAAAUAUUGGGGGAAACUUCUGCCAACUUUCUUGUCAGCGUCAGUCCUUGCCAAAUUGCCGAUAAAGAGAAAUGUGUCCUCGGCACUUCCUAAAUAUUGGUGUCCUUUUCUCCUUUCAGGAUGAAUUCUUCCAGAUUCUUAUAGUCAGCUCAGUAGCAGAAGGGUUUUUUUCAGGAAAGUGUUGAUAUCAGUUGAUAUUAGUUUUUUUUACUUUGGUGUGAAUUUAUAUCUCUCAGAACUCCUGCGCUUUAACAGGAGUCCAGAAAUAAAAGAUCAUCAUUAAAUGAAGGAAAUUCAAGAGUAAAUGACUCUAUGAGGGAGACAUUUUGGACACAUGGGUCCAUUCCAAACAAAACAAGUGAGUUCUUUACACAUGCAUAAGAUUACCCUCCCCAGACCACUCAUUGAUGGGUUAAUUGGUAUAAUGGGCUUAAUUUUCCUUCUGUUUGAAGUGAAGCCAACUCUUGGGAUCACCAAGACUAUUUGUAUCUUCUUUCAAGUGGUGUUUGAUGAGGGCUAUUCAAUGAAAAACAUUUCUGAGUUAGCAUAGAAUAUAUGAUUUGUCAUAGAUUUAAGAAUAGGGUCAGAGAUGUGUUACCAGAAUGACUUCAAGGAAGAUAUGAUUGAUUGCAAUUAGAAAACAAACCACAUACCAAGCUCUCAAUCAUCAGAAAUCUCAUAGAAAAGGAAACUCUAUUCAUAGGACAUAAUUACAUAUGGGACUCACACACCUGUUCCAUUUAUAGAAUCCUUUGUCCUCUAAAGAAUGAUAGGAGUGAUAUAGAUAGUAUAUAUAUAUAUAUUUUUUUUUCCCCAGGUAGAAUAUAAUGGAAAAUAGUAGCACUCUAGUUUGUCUGGACUUCUCAUCAAAUGAUUCUGUACAAAGCAGUUCUAAUGUUAUUCAGUUGCACAGAAACUCUCUUGUGCUACUUCAUAUACUAAGAAGCUGUAUGCCUUAUUAAUUUGUAUCCUCAGUGCCAUGCAGACUGCCCAGAACUUAGGUGAUCCCCUAAUGUCUCUUGAAGGCUGAAUGAAAGUAUGAAUGUUGAAAAGAGUCAACCAAAAUGUGUAUAAAUAGUAAGAAAAUUAACAUGAGGAAAAAAGAAGAGGGGACUAAGGAAAUAAAGCAAAUUAUACCUACCUUAAAAUCUAAUCUAUCUACAUCAUUAUCUGAAGUCUUUAAGGUGGAAAAUCUCAAAGUUCUCAAAUAUAUCAGUGUCUUAGGAUGAAUUCUGGGUGAGGAUUAUUCACGAGUAAUUAGAUUUUCAGUAGUCAGAUUCUCUCCUUUUUUUUUUUUUAUAUACAGUUUAUUAACUUCUCUCAAGCAGAGAUCCACCAAGUAUGCAAUUUUCACUUUGAGUUUUCUUAGUGUGGUGCUGACGUUGUAGGACAAGUCCACAGACAUAGAAACUAACACAGUUUCUACUUUGGGAUGCCUACACUAUUUGGAAAAACAGGAGCAACACAGGUAAGAGUAGAAAACACCAGAAGGAAAAGGGUAUACGAUGGAGAAGGGCAUUUUUGGAUAGCCUUACCUUCUGUUUCCAAUGGCCUUUCUGGAAAGUCAGAUCCCUGGCAACACUAACUGAAUUUGAGGUGUUAGAACUCAUUAGGGUGGUAGGGUUGUGGGACCAGAAGCCACGCUGACUUGACUUGCCACACUGGCUGUCACACUUAAACUCUCUGGUGAAGUUACCUCUCCUUUGUCAUUAUAGUAUUUUAUACCUGUUUUUAUUUGAGGUUCAUAAUAAGAGACUGUCACCAAAGGGACACUUGGCUUUAUCACAUUAAGAAGGCACACACCAGCAAAGAUGACUGUGAGACUACAGUUUUCUUCUGUACCAGCAAAAUCAGGGCCAUUGAAAUAGAUAACCUGUCAAGAUACAGUGUGACAAAUAGAUGCAAUAAGUAAUAUGUAAGUUGCUUUCCUCCUUACUGAUAGGGUUUCCUGAAUCUCCUUUAGUUUGGAUCCAUUAUCCUCUCUCUUUCUCUUUCUCUCUCCAACAUUUAUAUUAUAUAAAAUUUCAUAGAAAAUGUUGUUUUCUAAAUUUGUGUUCUAAAUGUAAAUCGCUUUAGAGCCAAUCGAACCUCCUAAUCAUUUGCUAUGAAAUAACUUUUUAUAUCUUAUUUUAUGAAUUUUUAUACCAUUUUCCUGAGGUUUUUAUUUAUCUAAGUAGUAGGAAUACCACAGUGCUGAGUGAAUAAUAUAUAACUGAAACACUAUGCCAAAUAUCCGAAUAAACACAAAAUAAGCCCUGAGUUUAUAACAAAUAGGUACAAGUUGCCCCCAGUUAGAUUCCUCCUUUCUGUUGCACAGUGUCCUCAGCCUUGUAAAGCUCCAGCUAUUAAAUUAAUGGUUUGAACCCUGGAACUUCAGGAUCCUGUGACACACAUUUUGGAGAGGUCCUUGACAGUUAACAGAAUUGUAAAUUUCUGAGAGAUUAUUUGUCCAUGAUCAGAGUCAACAUUCUAUACCAGCUGCUAGAUUUAGCUUCUUCUACUUUAAGAGAGUGGACCUGCAAGUGUUAUCUUCUGGAUAUUUAGCCAGGAAUUAUUUCUGUAUCAGUCAGAAAACCAGCAUGUGUUUCUUAACCACCAACUCUUCCUUCUCUCACCUGCAUCUUCAUUUGGUGUGAUGGUGGAAGCCACAGAAGAGCUUGUCAGCUUUCUGUUGCUUAUAACCUUGCCAUGUUCUUCAGCUAAGACCUAGAUAAUGACAUAAUCUCAGAACAAUUAAUAGAAAACCAACUGGCACUUACUGUGUUUGCACUUGGUAUUCAAGGGAGAAAAUGAUUGACAACUGGCGAGUCAAGACUGUGUGGAGAGCCUUGGAUCUAAGCUGUACCUUGAAGGGGCGGCAGAAUUUUGAGAGGCAGAAGGAAGCAGUCAUGAUAAGUGAGGAGAUCAUCAGUGGGAGCGUAACUGGCAAUGAGCAGAAGGCAUAGGGAAGCAGGCUGAAGAAUGUGCUAACUGGAGGAAAAUUGCCUCUUGGAGAUGGUGGAAAAUCAUUGCAGUUGGCAGGGUGGUGUCUGAUUAUGGAGCAUUGGAGUCCAAGUUGGAGAACUCAGGAUUGAUGGGGCAGUGGAGAGGAGACACUAAAGAUUAUAAGUAGAGAGGUAACAUGAUAGAAGUUGUGUAAGAAGAAACCCAGAGUGGCAGAUGGGACAGUGGCUAGAAAUCAAAUAUAAAGCACUGUUAACAGCCAAGGUUCUGUGUGUAAUAAAUAACCAAUACGCCACGCUGUGCACCAACCUUGUCCUUUGGUUUCACGAUGAUUUAUUUGUUAUACCACCACCCUCAUUAUCUAAAACAGAACACUACAAUUUCAUAUACCAUCUGUGAGCUCCAAAUGGUCAUAAUUAACAAUCACAAAUGUUCUGAAAAGGUGAUGUGCUAAAAAUAGCCUUAUCCGGCUUGUCAGCAGGCUGCUUCUGUGAGUACCAUGACAUUCAAUGGAAGAAUGACUGUAUUUUCUUAUGCCUUCCCGUGAUUAUAUUUCUCAUACAGAUUAUGAAACUAUGGAAACAUGCUUCUCUAAUUAAACAUCUUGAGGUUUAGUAAUUUGACUACUGGUCAGUUAGGGGCAGAAACAUCAAGACUAUACCUAAAGUAAGUUUCUUUCAGAUGAGAUCUGCUACUGUAUUACCUAGAACGUGAUUAGCAUCUUCCAAAAUGCCUACUGAAUGUAGGAAAAAUGUCAGCCAUUCGCACUUGUUUGUGGCAAAUGUAAAGAGCUGUUGUGUUAUUUUGUCUCCAAAGAUUCCCAUUCUUCUUGAAUCCUAAGGAAAACUUAAUAGAGAGAUCAUAGUUUGGUGCUGAAGGAGAGUGACCCUGCCUCUAGAAUGUGCACUGGGAAUUUCUAGAGAAACUUGAUGGUCUCAGCAAAGUCAGGAUUGAGAAUUUGGAGUUUAAUUUUCACCACUGAAAAUGACCAGCUUUGUUAUGCAUAUUUAGACUAUCUAAACUGUUGCAGCUAACUAGAAAAGCAAUGAGCCAAAAAGUGUAUAGAAUUUCAUCAAAUUAAAGGUGCCACUGAUUAUAAGAUGCACCAUUAUCUUAUAUUCUACUUAGAAAGAUAAAACAUUUCAAAUUAAACUAUGGCUUCUUUCUGAUUAUUUCUUUUCUUUUUAUUUUGUCUUUUUUAAUUUUUAUUUUUUUAUAGAAUAAAGUACAUACAUUUACACACAAUUACAUUCACACAGAUUAUUAUAACAUGGAUCUUAAGAAACAGAUUAAGUGACUCCCACUGGAGAAGUGGAAUGGAAAAUAUGCUGAGACAAAUAGGAAAUUUAUUCUAUACUUUAUCCCAAUUUUAUGGCUUUCAUCUUUACUACUUAGUUUUAUCUAUUACAUUUCAAUUUUUCUUUAAAAAUUAGCAUUAUAUUAAAUUGUUAUUUUAUGCAACUAAAGUUA
Molecule: long non-coding RNA, 4889 nt
Filed under: Sus scrofa (pig)
Lineage: Eukaryota; Metazoa; Chordata; Mammalia; Artiodactyla; Suidae
Description: lncRNA (ENSSSCG00005036791.1)
Source: RNAcentral